AUGGCGCUCAUGCUCAGCCCGGCCGCGACCUUCCUCCCCGUCGCCACCGGCAAGCCCACCGCCACCGCCGGCGCCAUGCGAAGCCUCCUCUUCACCACCACCAGCGGCACCGCCAGCGGCCACCGGAGCAGCAGGAAGGUGGUGGCGAUGGCGGACAUCCUGGGGGACUUCGGCGCGCGGGACCCGUUCCCGGAGGAGAUCGCGAGCAACUUCGGGGAGAAGACGCUGGGCAACGUGGACACGCUGCACCGCAUCCUCAUCCCCACGCUCUCCGUGCUCUCCCUCUCCCGCGUCCCGCUCGAAGCCCACCCGGCGCCGCUCUCCGAGGAGGACGCCCGCAGGCUGCUCUUCAAGGUCGUCGGAUGGCGCCUCCUCUUCCCCGGCAAGGGCGACUCCGACGUGCUCAAGCUCGAGUGCGUCUGGAAGGUCCGCGACCAGGCCUGCGGCGACGAGCUCAUCGCCAGGAUCGGCAAGGCGCUCGACGGCGCCGGCCAUGCCCCCGCCGCGCUCCUCUUCGAGCCGCCCAACCAAGUCAGGGCACAGCUCUGCACGCCCUCCGUAGGUGGGCUGAGCGCCAACGACUUCAUCAUCGCGGCGAGGAUCGACCAGAUCAAGACCAAAGAUCUCCUCCCAAAGAAGAGGGUCUGGGCAUGCUAA
Molecule: ribosomal RNA, 657 nt
Filed under: Triticum aestivum (bread wheat)
Lineage: Eukaryota; Viridiplantae; Streptophyta; Magnoliopsida; Poales; Poaceae
Description: partial small subunit ribosomal RNA
Source: RNAcentral